RNAcentral lists this ribosomal RNA (403 nucleotides) under uncultured bacterium. RNAcentral describes it as "partial 16S ribosomal RNA". It matches the Rfam family "Bacterial small subunit ribosomal RNA", at positions 30 to 526 of the family's 1533-position model. The record is from RNAcentral.
AUUGAACGCUGGCGGCGUGCCUAAUACAUGCAAGUCGAACGCAGUGGGGACGGGUGAGUAACCCGUGGGUAACCUCCCAUCAGAGGGGAUAACACUUGGCAACAGGUGCUAAACCGAUACUGAUGGAUGGUCCCGCGGUGCAUUAGCUAGUUGGUGAGGUAACGGCUCACCAAGGCCACGAUGCGUAGCCGGCCUGAGAGGAUGAUCAGCCACACUGGGACUGAGACACGGCCCAGACUCCUACGGGAGGCAGCAGUAGGGAAUCUUCGGCAAUGGGCGAAAGUCUGACCGAGCAACGCCGCGUGAGUGAAGAAGGUUUUCGGAUCGUAAAGCUCUGUUGGUAGGGAGGCGGUAUCUAACCAGAAAGCCACGGCUAACUACGUGCCAGCAGCCGCGGUAAUAC